UUACAGUCAUACCAGUGUUUCCCAGAGCAGCUGCUACAAGAAGCUUGCUUAAUACCUGCUGCCUGUAAAAAGAAUUAAGCAGUAAGUGAGGGCUUGCCACAGGAUCUGUGUCCAGGUUUACUGAGCAAGCCUGGGGAAGCAAGAGCACAGACAUUUUGCUUACUCCAAGAACAUAUAUGACCCUUGGUUGCAGUUGGGUAUGUUUGUCAAGGUUACACUGUCUGGUCUCCUGAUGCUACUGAUGCUUCAUUGAAGAAUAAGAGAUUUCUACAUUCUUGAACAUCCAGAAAAUCCUUCCAGAAACAGAACAGAAAAAUUCCAGAACAUCCAGAAAAUAAUUCUCAUCAGGAAUUAUUGUUUUACAGUAUCAGGAUGCCCAUACAUCAAAUGCCUAUGUGCAAUACAAAUGAGAAGAUGCUAGUCAUUUUGGGAAUAAAUAAAUAGCAAAAAAAAAAAAUGAUGUGUAU
Molecule: long non-coding RNA, 467 nt
Filed under: Anas platyrhynchos platyrhynchos (common mallard)
Lineage: Eukaryota; Metazoa; Chordata; Aves; Anseriformes; Anatidae
Description: lncRNA (ENSAPLG00000020093.1)
Source: RNAcentral